AUAACAUUAGUUUGUAAUUAAAAGCAACUUAAAAACUUGGCUAUUACAACAACGAUAUUAAAUUUAUUUUUUAAGGGGAAAGACCCAUCACAAUAGCUUGCUAUUGGGGUUUUUGCACGUCGCCCAAGCGUUGCACUGCUGCACGGGCCUGUCGUACCCUAC
RNAcentral lists this small nuclear RNA (162 nucleotides) under Spinacia oleracea (spinach). RNAcentral's name for it is "U2 spliceosomal RNA". It matches the Rfam family "U2 spliceosomal RNA". From Rfam's summary of the family: U2 is a small nuclear RNA (snRNA) component of the spliceosome (involved in pre-mRNA splicing). Complementary binding between U2 snRNA (in an area lying towards the 5' end but 3' to hairpin I) and the branchpoint sequence (BPS) of the intron results the bulging out of an unpaired adenosine, on the BPS, which initiates a nucleophilic attack at the intronic 5' splice site, thus starting the first of two transesterification reactions that mediate splicing. Lineage: Eukaryota; Viridiplantae; Streptophyta; Magnoliopsida; Caryophyllales; Amaranthaceae. The record is from Rfam by way of RNAcentral.